CCAAGUUUUUAAGGGCGCACGGUGGAUGCCUUGGCACCAGGAACCGAUGAAGGACGUGGGAGGCCACGAUAGUCCCCGGGGAGUCGUCAACCAGGCUUUGAUCCGGGGGUUUCCGAAUGGGGAAACCCGGCAGUCGUCAUGGGCUGUCACCCUUGCCUGAACACAUAGGGCAAGUGGAGGGAACGCGGGGAAGUGAAACAUCUCAGUACCCGCAGGAAGAGAAAACAACCGUGAUUCCGGGAGUAGUGGCGAGCGAAACCGGAUGAGGCCAAACCGUAUGCGUGUGAGACCCGGCAGGGGUUGCGCAUACGGGGUUGUGGGAUCUCUCUUCUACGGUCUGCCGGCCGUGGGACGAGUCAGAAACCGUUGAUGUAGGCGAAGGACAUGCGAAAGGUCCGGCGUAGAGGGUAAGACCCCCGUAGUCGAAACAUCAGCGGCUCGUUUGAGAGACACCCAAGUAGCACGGGGCCCGAGAAAUCCCGUGUGAAUCUGGCGGGACCACCCGCUAAGCCUAAAUAUUCCCUGGUGACCGAUAGCGGAUAGUACCGUGAGGGAAUGGUGAAAAGUACCGCGGGAGCGGAGUGAAAUAGUACCUGAAACCGUGUGCCUACAAGCCGUGGGAGCGUCGGAACAAGGCUUGCCUUGUUCUCGUGACUGCGUGCCUUUUGAAGAAUGAGCCUGCGAGUUUGCGGUGUGUUGCGAGGUUAACCCGGGUGGGGAAGCCGUAGCGAAAGCGAGUCCGAAUAGGGCGAUUUCAGUAGCACGCUCAAGACCCGAAGCGGAGUGAUCAAGCCCAUGGGGCAGGUUGAAGCGGAGGUAAGACUUCGUGGAGGACCGAACCCACCAGGGUUGAAAACCUGGGGGAUGACCUGUGGUUAGGGGUGAAAGGCCAAUCAAACUCCGUGAUAGCUGGUUCUCCCCGAAAUGCAUUUAGGUGCAGCGUCGUGUGUUUCUUGCCGGAGGUAGAGCACUGGAUAGGCGAUGGGCCCUACCGGGUUACUGACCUUAGCCAAACUCCGAAUGCCGGUAAGUGAGAGCGCGGCAGUGAGACUGUGGGGGAUAAGCUCCAUGGUCGAGAGGGAAACAGCCCAGAGCAUCGACUAAGGCCCCUAAGCGUACGCUAAGUGGGAAAGGAUGUGGAGUCGCACAGACAACCAGGAGGUUGGCUUAGAAGCAGCCACCCUUGAAAGAGUGCGUAAUAGCUCACUGGUCUAGUGAUUCCGCGCCGACAAUGUAGCGGGGCUCAAGCGUACCGCCGAAGUCGUGUCAUUCACACAAUAGGGCCAACGCCUGUGUGGAUGGGUAGGGGAGCGUCGUGUGCCGGGUGAAGCAGCGCCGGAAGGCAGUUGUGGACGGUUCACGAGUGAGAAUGCAGGCAUGAGUAGCGAUUCACACGUGAGAAACGUGUGCGCCGAUUGACUAAGGGUUCCUGGGUCAAGCUGAUCUGCCCAGGGUAAGUCGGGACCUAAGGCGAGGCCGACAGGCGUAGUCGAUGGAUAACCGGUUGAUAUUCCGGUACCCGCUGUGAAGCGUCAAACAUCGAAUCCAGUGAUGCUAAGCCCGUGAAGCCGCCGGCUGAGUCUUCGGACGAGGUCGGAGUGGUGGAGCCGGUGACCCGAGCUGGUAGUAGGUGAGUGAUGGGGUGACGCAGGAAGGUAGUCCAUCCCGGGCGGUGGUUGUCCCGGGGUAAGGGUGUAGGCCGGACGGUAGGUAAAUCCGCCGUUCAUUAAGGCUGAGACCUGAUGCCGAGCCGAUUGUGGUGAAGUGGAUGAUCCUAUGCUGUCGAGAAAAGCCUCUAGCGAGUUUCAUGGCGGCCCGUACCCUAAACCGACUCAGGUGGUCAGGUAGAGAAUACCGAGGCGUUCGGGUGAACUAUGGUUAAGGAACUCGGCAAAAUGCCCCCGUAACUUCGGGAGAAGGGGGGCCACGUCUGGUGAUCCGAUUUACUCGGUGAGCUGGGGGUGGCCGCAGAGACCAGCGAGAAGCGACUGUUUACUAAAAACACAGGUCCGUGCGAAGCCGUAAGGCGAUGUAUACGGACUGACGCCUGCCCGGUGCUGGAACGUUAAGGGGACCGGUUAGCUCACUUUCGGGUGGGCGAAGCUGAGAACUUAAGCGCCAGUAAACGGCGGUGGUAACUAUAACCAUCCUAAGGUAGCGAAAUUCCUUGUCGGGUAAGUU
Molecule: ribosomal RNA, 2181 nt
Filed under: Streptomyces griseoflavus Tu4000
Lineage: Bacteria; Bacillati; Actinomycetota; Actinomycetes; Kitasatosporales; Streptomycetaceae
Description: bacterial LSU rRNA
Rfam family: Bacterial large subunit ribosomal RNA
Source: RNAcentral